Long non-coding RNA from Ananas comosus (pineapple), 1095 nucleotides. RefSeq lists it as uncharacterized. The record is from RefSeq and is a predicted model, not a curated record. The transcript is spliced from 5 exons. NCBI's taxonomy places the organism in Eukaryota, Viridiplantae, Streptophyta, Magnoliopsida, Poales, Bromeliaceae.
CUGCCAGAAAAUCUGCAGCAGGACUGCAGUGUAAUUUCAGAUUUUGGUGGGUUAAGUUGCAAAAUUGCCAUCCUUAUCUUAACCCCAGCCACCUGACACUUAUCUUUGUACAGAACUUCUUCCCUCUCCUUCGUUCUUAUCCCUAUUUCCCUCUUUAUCUCUCUUGAGCCUAAUUAAAGCGUUGUGAAAGAAGAAUUGGUGGAGUGGAACCUUUCCUGCGUUGGAGCUGAAAGGAGUAGCCGAGCUUCAGCUCUCUAGUAUUGCUGCGUUGAGGUUGCAGCAGAAGAAGAAGAAGAAGAAGAAGAAGAAGUGAGCUGAGAACAACCUGGGUUCAUAUCAAGAUAAGGAUGUGUAGUUAAGAGAAUUGAUGGCAGUCUUGAUGUUUUGAGUUGCCGAGUUGAUAUCUCGGGUGUGUGGACUAGAGUACUAGCUGGAGAACAUCCCAAGUAAGUGGAAUGGGCAAAAUUGGGGGUAGUAAGCUGAGUGAAGUUGUCAAGUGAAGUUCCUGCCUGGGUGCUGUCAGAACUGAGAACAAAUUGGUAUCCUACUAAAUUAAGGGGAUUCAAUCCAGUAAAUUGGUGAAGCUGAGUUGAAGGAAUUCCUACUGUGGUAUUGCUGAAGUAGAGAAUUGGGUCACUUGCAGCAGUGAACAGCUUGAUAGAACCUUAAAUUAAGGAAUUUCAGUAGAGACCGAAUUAAUAGAAGGAAGUGAGGAAUGAUUGUUUGUUGCUGAAAAUUCAGAUUUAAAAUUGGAUUUGUGGGCUGCAGAAGUAAGGUUGCAGCUGAGGAAGGCCUUAAUGCAGAAUUUUAAUGCCUAAAGCUGAAAACAACUUGGAAGGAUUCCUACAUUGGAGUGGCAUAUAAGGGAAUUCCUGGGUGAACCGAAUUGGAGUAGGGACUUGAAGAGCUGCUGCCAGGACUGAGCAUUAGUUGAUUAGUGAUGACAGCUUGAUGAUCCAACUUGUCAAAGCUUUGGAAUGAAUUAUUCUUAGCUGUUGAAUCUAGGAAUAAAAAGGGGCAGCAAAUAAGGUGAGCUAAGUUAAUAACUUAUUAGGGCUAAUUUAGUUGUUCAGAAUUGAUUGAGAAAAGGAUUCG